This 659-nucleotide ribosomal RNA is filed under the name uncultured Methanotrichaceae archaeon. Its description in RNAcentral is "SSU rRNA". It matches the Rfam family "Archaeal small subunit ribosomal RNA", at positions 102 to 762 of the family's 1478-position model. The record is from RNAcentral. Lineage: Archaea; Methanobacteriati; Methanobacteriota; Methanomicrobia; Methanotrichales; Methanotrichaceae.
GGAUAACCUGCCCUGGAGAUGGGGAUAAACCCGGGAAACUGGGUAUAAUACCCAAUAGAUCUCGACUGCUGGAAUGCAUCGAGCUCCAAAGCUCCGGCGCUCAAGGAUGGAUCUGCGGCCUAUCAGGUAGUAGUGGGUGUAGCGUACCUACUAGCCUACGACGGGUACGGGUUGUGAGAGCAAGAGCCCGGAGAUGGAUUCUGAGACACGAAUCCAGGCCCUACGGGGUGCAGCAGGCGCGAAAACUUUACAAUGCUGGAAACAGCGAUAAGGGGACCUCGAGUGCCAGGUUACAAAUCUGGCUGUCGUGAUGCCUAAAAAGCAUUGCAUAGCAAGGGCCGGGCAAGACCGGUGCCAGCCGCCGCGGUAACACCGGCGGCUCGAGUGGUAACCGUUAUUAUUGGGUCUAAAGGGUCUGUAGCCGGCCGGAUAAGUCUCUUGGGAAAUCUGGCAGCUUAACUGUCAGGCUUUCAGGAGAUACUGUCUGGCUCGAGGCCGGGAGAGGUGAGAGGUACUUCAAGGGUAGGGGUGAAAUCUUGUAAUCCUUGAAGGACCACCAGUGGCGAAGGCGUCUCACUAGAACGGAUCCGACGGCAAGGGACGAAAGCUAGGGGCACGAACCGGAUUAGAUACCCGGGUAGUCCUAGCCGUAAACGAUA